Molecule: ribosomal RNA, 833 nt
Filed under: Micrococcus sp.
Lineage: Bacteria; Bacillati; Actinomycetota; Actinomycetes; Micrococcales; Micrococcaceae
Description: bacterial SSU rRNA
Rfam family: Bacterial small subunit ribosomal RNA
Source: RNAcentral
AUGCUAGUCGAACGAUGAAGCCCAGCUUGCUGGGUGGAUUAGUGGCGAACGGGUGAGUAACACGUGAGUAACCUGCCCUUGACUCUAGGAUAAGCCCGGGAAACUGGGUCUAAUACUGGAUAGGAACGUCUACCGCAUGGUGGAUGUUGGAAAGAAUUUCGGUCAUGGAUGGACUCGCGGCCUAUCAGCUUGUUGGUGAGGUAAUGGCUCACCAAGGCGACGACGGGUAGCCGGCCUGAGAGGGUGACCGGCCACACUGGGACUGAGACACGGCCCAGACUCCUACGGGAGGCAGCAGUGGGGAAUAUUGCACAAUGGGCGAAAGCCUGAUGCAGCGACGCCGCGUGAGGGAUGACGGCCUUCGGGUUGUAAACCUCUUUCAGUAGGGAAGAAGCGAAAGUGACGGUACCUGCAGAAGAAGCACCGGCUAACUACGUGCCAGCAGCCGCGGUAAUACGUAGGGUGCGAGCGUUAUCCGGAAUUAUUGGGCGUAAAGAGCUCGUAGGCGGUUUGUCGCGUCUGUCGUGAAAGUCCGGGGCUUAACCCCGGAUCUGCGGUGGGUACGGGCAGACUAGAGUGCAGUAGGGGAGACUGGAAUUCCUGGUGUAGCGGUGGAAUGCGCAGAUAUCAGGAGGAACACCGAUGGCGAAGGCAGGUCUCUGGGCUGUAACUGACGCUGAGGAGCGAAAGCAUGGGGAGCGAACAGGAUUAGAUACCCUGGUAGUCCAUGCCGUAAACGUUGGGCACUAGGUGUGGGGAACAUUCCACGUUUUCCGCGCCGCAGCUAACGCAUUAAGUGCCCCGCCUGGGGGAGUACGGCCGCAAGGCUAAAA